UGAAAAAUUAGGGUUUGGUUGUCAUCCUCGCCUCCCUAUAUAAUCCCCCCUAUGCUCCAACUACAGCCAUGACAUCAAUCACUUCUCUUCAUUCUCAACGGUCACGGAGGCUGGAGAUCUCAUGAUCAUUCUGCAAGGACAAUGAAUGGUGCUUUUAGGGGCAACAAACUAGAGUCUCUGAUGCGCUCUUUCUCCAUAGCGUAUCCAGCGCUGUAUGUUGCCAAUAACAACGUGAACCUGAGAUGCUGGCAUUUGCCAAGUAUUUGUUUUCACCAGGCUAAUGCACUCAUAUGUUUCAAUAUUUAGCACUACAGUUUUUUUAUUGAUACUGAAUUUCAUGUAGGCAAUUGAACUCCACUUGUUAUUAAUAAUAUUGAAUUUAAGAAAGACAUGCACGAAGUUUGAUGUUUUAUUAGGGCACUAUUAUCUUUGAAACAACAUUUACACUUUGUUUGGUUUGAGUGAUUUAAACUUUAGAUUAUUUACUCAACUUGUGAUUAAUAGUAUUGAAUUUAAGAAAGACAUGCAGCAAGUUUGAUAUUUUAUUAGGACACUGUUAUCCUUGAAACAACAUUUACACUUUGUUUGGUUUGAGUGAUUUAAACUUUAGAGUAUUUACCCCACUUGUGAUUUAAUAGUAUUGAAUUUGAGAAAGACAUGCACCAAUUUUGAUGUUUUAUUAGGACACUAUUAUCUUUGAAACAACAUUUACACUUUGUUUGGUUUGAGUGAUUUGAACUUCAGAAUAUUGCUAGAUGCAUCUUCCUAAUUCUAUUUUGAGUUGGGGUUGAGGGAAAGGGGUUGUAACUACUAGAAACAAGGAAGCCAAAUGAUGAGUUUUGAUUAAAUCUCUUACGACGGUCAUCUGACGUGCUUGUUGUUAGCACUGAUGUAAUGUUCAACACCACUGAUGGUUUUCUUUGAAGAGGGAGUGGUAGGUUUAUGAAAAUCAAAACGGGGUAACUUUGCCAUGUCUUCUUAAUUACUAUUUGCCAUAUUUAUAUGGUUGGCGUAACAAUUUGUUUAGCAUAGGAAUCUGAAAAAUAUAAAAAUGAAACAAAUUAAUUGGCUUCACAAAAUCUGGCUUUGUAUUCCAUUUUUCCUUGGUGUUUUUUUCCCUACUUUUGUGGCUCUUGUUCCUUCAUUUGGAUGUGAAUGGAAUUAGAGUAACAAAACAGAACAACUUGAUCCCAUAGCAUGUAUUCCGCAAUCAUUUUGAAGGCAAGUGCUACAAUGAUUUGUCAUUAUAGAUGAGCACUGCCUGAACCCCUAGGAGCAAAUUAAUACAUUGUCUAUCAAACCAUUAUUGUGAGCAAGCAAGUGUAUUUUUUGUGUAAGUUACUAUGACCUUGUGGUUUUACAAAACUACAAUUAUCGCCAUUCUUAGUAUAAUUACAAUUACUUCCCUGUGUGAAAUUUGUACCAAAUUAAUCCACACUGUUCAAAACUACUAGUAAUUUUUGUUAAUUCACAGAAUUUUUAAAAUGUUAAAAUUAUUGUUUGUAUUUAAAAUAAAUAAGAUUGAUUAUUUUACAUUACAUUAUAUCUGUCACACACACAUAUAUAUAUGUCCUCUGCUCCAUUCCUCUCCCUAUCUCCCUAUCUUCAUCAGCAGUGGUUGUGGUGUUCAAUGGAAAGAGGAGGUUGGGGUUGCUGUGGACAUGAAAAUAUUGUGGGGAGUGGCAGUAUUAUGUGGUGGUUGUGCACCAGUGGUCAGCAGAACUGGGUAGGGUUUCAUAUUCAAAGGCAUGGUUGAAGAUUUAUGUUUUGUCUCAUCUAAAAUUCUUCUGAUGUAUAUUCCCUUAUGCACACACGAAACACUCAUAUUUAUAUGUUUUGGCUAUCCUGAAUCUUAGGGUGUAGUAAUUGUUCUUGUUGUUUUGUUAUAUUUAUGCGCAGCCCUUAAGAUCGUCUUCCUCUUUCAACACAUGGAAGCGUUUUGAGUCAUAGCUACGCUAUAUCAACUGUAUGUAUACACGUGCACUUACAUGUAUGUGUAUACAUAUGUUGGGGUUUCUCUUCAGGGUUUUCCUUUUGAGUUCCCUCUUGCCCCCAUCUAUGCUUCUUUUGAGGCAUUUCAAACACUUUUGGAGCUGAAUCUGCCUAUUUGUUGACUCUGAGGUACAUAGUUUUUGUGCUAUUUUUAUCUCUGAGUGUCUCAAUUAUUGGGAUUUUUAACUCCAAAAAUUCAUUGUGAAAUGUCUUGACUUCUAGGUGGGGGGACACUCAAUUCCUUUGAUUUCCUAGAUUUCAGAGUUUUGGAACUUAUCUGUUGUGGGUUUCAUAAAUGGGAGAAAAGCUGAGACCUUUUUUUUCCUUGAUCUCCAGCACCCCCAAUGUAUUGAGAUUGGUCAAUUUUUUGUUUUUUGUUUUUUUUUUCUUCGUAUCAGUCACUGGGGGUUGUGGGGGUCAAAGACACAAUACCCACAUAUACAGGUCUGUGAGUGGUAGAAGGAAAAAAGAAAUGUAAAACAAAAAAUGAAAAGUUGGCAAAUUGCAAUAGAUUGGGGGUGGUGGGAGUUAAGGAAAAAUGGGGUCUCAACUUUUUUUCCCUUAUUGAUAUUGUGGCUUUACCACAGUGUUAGGAUUUCUUUUGUUUUUAUUUUUAUUUUUAUUUUUUAUGUGAUUUUAAUGAGUUUUUAAUAAAUUUGUUAUAGUUGAGUUUUGGAAAAUAUUUUUGGAAAAGCCGGGGGUAUGUUGGAAACUUUCCCUUUGCGUUAGUGUGAUAUGUUCCUUUCAUUUUAGUUCAACCAAAUCGAAGUCCAAGAGUUGGCAAGAAUGAUGAAUCUAUAUAGAUGUGAGAGGAGAAAAUCUUUUGUGAGCCUCCAAUAUAUAAUGCUUAUUGAUAUUCUGACUUGCCUUUUAUGUUUAUAGUUUUAAUUUUUUUGCUAGUUAUUAAAGAUCUUUUCAAAUGCAGUAGAAUUGUAUUAGAAUUAUUGUUACUCA
This is a non-coding RNA of Camellia sinensis, 2946 nucleotides long. The record is from RefSeq and is a predicted model, not a curated record. Lineage: Eukaryota; Viridiplantae; Streptophyta; Magnoliopsida; Ericales; Theaceae.